AGCUGCAGAUCCAGUAAUGCAAAAGAGGUGCAAUAUUACAGCGCAAGAUCUUUUGGGGGAGAAUUUCUCCACUUUCUAGCAUCGGCCAAUUAACUACCUUUCAUUAAACGUGUGGAUGAUGCAACUUCCUGGAUGGUGUGUAGGCUGUUUGUCAACAUGUGAAUCCCACGUGCAUUUCGGGGAGUUGUCUCCCCUUGAAAAGAACAAUAAUAGCGGAUAAACAAUGCGGCAUGAAGUCUUGUCAUCAACGGACAGUUUUGACACCCAUAUACCCAUAUUUCUACCAAAUACCUCUGAAACCUUUGUUGUGUUCAUCACACAGAUGAUGGACCACUCUACUUCCUUUUACAAGAGGUGCCCCUACAGAUUCACAAAGUUCCAGUGUUGAGUUUCCAUGACCCCUAUUCAGUGAGUGUACAACUUUAUGUAUUCUACUUUCAAAAUUUCUACUACUUGUAAUACAUUUUGGAUUUGAUUUUAAAUAUGCCCUAUUUACAGAUUCAGAUUUUUGUGUACAAGUAUGAUAUUUGAUUCUAUCAAGAUUACUUUGUCCUAAAG
Long non-coding RNA from Saccostrea cuccullata (small rock oyster), 558 nucleotides. RefSeq lists it as uncharacterized. The transcript is spliced from 4 exons. Lineage: Eukaryota; Metazoa; Mollusca; Bivalvia; Ostreida; Ostreidae. The record is from RefSeq and is a predicted model, not a curated record.